GAUGAACGCUGGCGGCGUGCCUAAUACAUGCAAGUCGAGCGAACGGACGAGAAGCUUGCUUCUCUGAUGUUAGCGGCGGACGGGUGAGUAACACGUGGAUAACCUACCUAUAAGACUGGGAUAACUUCGGGAAACCGGAGCUAAUACCGGAUAAUAUUUUGAACCGCAUGGUUCAAAAGUGAAAGACGGUCUUGCUGUCACUUCUAGAUGGAUCCGCGCUGCAUUAGCUAGUUGGUAAGGUAACGGCUUACCAAGGCAACGAUGCAUAGCCGACCUGAGAGGGUGAUCGGCCACACUGGAACUGAGACACGGUCCAGACUCCUACGGGAGGCAGCAGUAGGGAAUCUUCCGCAAUGGGCGAAAGCCUGACGGAGCAACGCCGCGUGAGUGAUGAAGGUCUUCGGAUCGUAAAACUCUGUUAUUAGGGAAGAACAUAUGCGUAAGUAACUGUGCACAUCUUGACGGUACCUAAUCAGAAAGCCACGGCUAACUACGUG
RNAcentral lists this ribosomal RNA (497 nucleotides) under uncultured bacterium. RNAcentral describes it as "partial 16S ribosomal RNA". It matches the Rfam family "Bacterial small subunit ribosomal RNA", at positions 28 to 507 of the family's 1533-position model. The record is from RNAcentral.